This 77-nucleotide transfer RNA is filed under the name Methanobrevibacter cuticularis. Its description in RNAcentral is "tRNA-Arg". It matches the Rfam family "tRNA". Rfam says of the family: Transfer RNA (tRNA) molecules are approximately 80 nucleotides in length. Their secondary structure includes four short double-helical elements and three loops (D, anti-codon, and T loops). The record is from RNAcentral. Lineage: Archaea; Methanobacteriati; Methanobacteriota; Methanobacteria; Methanobacteriales; Methanobacteriaceae.
GGGCCUGUGGUCUAGCCUGGAAUAUGACGAUGGACUUCGGAUCCAUAGGGCAGGGGUUCAAAUCCCCUCAGGUCCGC